CACGCCCGUCCCUCCCGCACCGCCAUGAGCCGCGGGCCGGCCGCCCCGCGGAGUCCCCGGACAGCAGGCAUCUGAUGCCAGCUCUGAGAAACUGUUCAACGCUGUCACAAAUAAAGAUAAAGAGGUGGGAGUUGGUGCACUUGCUGACAAUGACGACUCUGGUGCUAGGGGCCCAGCUGUCCCCAAAAUAUCAGGACUAGAAAGGAGCCAAGAGAAGAGCCAGGACAGCAGCAAAGACCCAAUACUUGAGCCUGUGGUGCCUAAAGACCCCCGUCCUCAGGUGACGCCGCCGCCGCUGGAGCCACCUCCCGAGGGCCGCUGCCCCAGCCCCGCGCUCGC
Non-coding RNA from Agelaius phoeniceus (red-winged blackbird), 339 nucleotides. The record is from RefSeq and is a predicted model, not a curated record. NCBI's taxonomy places the organism in Eukaryota, Metazoa, Chordata, Aves, Passeriformes, Icteridae.